CAGUAGCCGCGGUAAUACGAAGGGUGCAAGCGUUACUCGGAAUUACUGGGCGUAAAGCGUGCGUAGGUGGUGGUUUAAGUCCGUUGUGAAAGCCCUGGGCUCAACCUGGGAAUUGCAGUGGAUACUGGGUCACUAGAGUGUGGUAGAGGAUAGUGGAAUUUCCGGUGUAGCAGUGAAAUGCGUAGAGAUCGGAAGGAACAUCUGUGGCGAAGGCGACCACCUGGACUGAUACUGACACUGAGGUGCGAAAGCGUGGGGAGCAAACAGGAUUAGAUACCCCAGUAGUCCCUGUCUCUUAUAC
RNAcentral lists this ribosomal RNA (301 nucleotides) under uncultured bacterium. Its description in RNAcentral is "partial 16S ribosomal RNA". It matches the Rfam family "Bacterial small subunit ribosomal RNA", at positions 509 to 807 of the family's 1533-position model. The record is from RNAcentral.